CCUACGGGAGGCAGCAGUAAGGAAUAUUGGUCAAUGGACGCAAGUCUGAACCAGCCAUGCCGCGUGAAGGAUUAAGGUCCUCUGGAUUGUAAACUUCUUUUAUUUGGGACGAAAAAGGGUCUUUCUAGAUCAACUGACGGUACCAGAUGAAUAAGCACCGGCUAACUCCGUGCCAGCAGCCGCGGUAAUACGGAGGGUGCAAGCGUUAUCCGGAUUCACUGGGUUUAAAGGGUGCGUAGGCGGGUAGGUAAGUCAGUGGUGAAAUCCUAGAGCUCAACUCUAGAACUGCCAUUGAUACUAUUUAUCUUGAAUAUUGUGGAGGUAAGCGGAAUAUGUCAUGUAGCGGUGAAAUGCUUAGAUAUGACAUAGAACACCUAUUGCGAAGGCAGCUUACUACGCAUAUAUUGACGCUGAGGCACGAAAGCGUGGGGAUCAAACAGGAUUAGAUACCCUGGUAGUCCACGCCCUAAACUAUGAUUACUCGACAUUUGUGAUACACUAUAAGUGUCUGAGAGAAGAGAUAAGUAAUACUAACCGUAGGUAGUUACGUUCGUCGAGAGUAGAAGACGAAGAAGUUAGAGGCGNGAGAGNGCGACGACGACGACGAGGGAGGAGG
Molecule: ribosomal RNA, 616 nt
Filed under: uncultured bacterium
Lineage: Bacteria
Description: bacterial SSU rRNA
Rfam family: Bacterial small subunit ribosomal RNA (bases 1-536)
Source: RNAcentral